This 19-nucleotide ribosomal RNA is filed under the name Oidium sp. VPRI 20724. RNAcentral's name for it is "partial 28S ribosomal RNA". RNAcentral also lists the same sequence under 1 other name. Lineage: Eukaryota; Fungi; Ascomycota; Leotiomycetes; Helotiales; Erysiphaceae. The record is from RNAcentral.
UUGACCUCGAUCAGGUAGG